This 119-nucleotide ribosomal RNA is filed under the name Pteropus alecto (black flying fox). The record is from RNAcentral. Lineage: Eukaryota; Metazoa; Chordata; Mammalia; Chiroptera; Pteropodidae.
GUCUACGGUCAUGCCACCCUGAACGUGCCCCAUCCUGUCCGGUCUCGGAAACUAAGCAGGGUUAGGUCUGGUUAGUACUUGGAUGAGAGACCACCUAGGAAUACCAGGUGCUGUAGGCA